UUUGAGGUAGGAUGUGUAGUUUUCGCGGA
This 29-nucleotide small RNA is filed under the name Bombyx mori (domestic silkworm). Its description in RNAcentral is "ovarian small RNA-38380". Lineage: Eukaryota; Metazoa; Arthropoda; Insecta; Lepidoptera; Bombycidae. The record is from RNAcentral.